ACGUAGGGGGCAAGCGUUGCUCGGAAUCACUGGGUUUAAAGGGCUCGCAGGCGGGCAUAUAAGUCGUGGGUUAAAUCUCCGAGCUCAACUCGGAUACGCCUGCGAUACUGUAUGCCUCGAGAGAGAGAUAGGAAACGGGAAUUCCCGGUGUAACGGUGGAAUGUGUAGAUAUCGGGAGGAACACCAAUAGCGAAGGCAAGUUUCUGGCUCUCUUCUGACGCUCAUGAGCGAAAGCGUGGGUAGCAAACAG
RNAcentral lists this ribosomal RNA (250 nucleotides) under uncultured prokaryote. RNAcentral describes it as "partial 16S rRNA". It matches the Rfam family "Bacterial small subunit ribosomal RNA", at positions 525 to 775 of the family's 1533-position model. The record is from RNAcentral.